GCGGGGGUGCCCGAGCGGCCAAAGGGGCACGGUUCAGGGCCGUGUGGCUUAGCGCCUUCAUGGGUUCGAAUCCCAUCCCCCGCA
This 84-nucleotide transfer RNA is filed under the name Candidatus Woesearchaeota archaeon. RNAcentral describes it as "tRNA-Leu". It matches the Rfam family "tRNA". Rfam says of the family: Transfer RNA (tRNA) molecules are approximately 80 nucleotides in length. Their secondary structure includes four short double-helical elements and three loops (D, anti-codon, and T loops). Lineage: Archaea; Nanobdellati; Candidatus Woesearchaeota. The record is from RNAcentral.